This 3594-nucleotide long non-coding RNA is filed under the name Xyrichtys novacula (pearly razorfish). Lineage: Eukaryota; Metazoa; Chordata; Actinopteri; Labriformes; Labridae. The record is from RNAcentral.
UUGGCGUUGAGCUUUGUGGCGUGUGUAUUUUUAUCCGUCAAACAUGUUAAGAUCAACGAGACAAAAACAACUUUGGCCCGAAGCAAUGAGGACGGAAUCAGGGCAUGAAUCUGUUUCCUAACAUAUCCCAGUCUAUAACAUCAACGCAUGCAGAGUGUGUGUGUGAGUGUGUCUGAGUGUGUGUGCAGACGCUCCGCUGACUUCAUCAGGAUUCAGGGAAGGCUUCAAGGAGGAAUACAUUAUCAAACUGUGAUAGACUCUAAAGCCCUCUUCAUACAUAAUAAAUUAUUCAGAGCUCUGUAAACUAAACUCAAAGUCAAUGAUAAAUGCGAUCCAGUGGCCGCAGCGCUCCUCCACACUUCAUUAGGCCGGCAGGAGAGCAGCGAGGACUGAAAUAACAACAGAGCGAGGGAUGAAGGGUUUAGCUGGGAGAGGGAGGGAGGCGCGAGGAGGUGAGGCGGAGGAGGAGGAGGAGGAGGAGGAGCAGGGAGCACAGGGCUGCAGGAUUAGGAGAGUGACAAAGACAGACUUUAACAAUCCCUCUAAUAAGAAUUCCUGAGCUCUGUGUGCUUUUAAAAGCUCCUGUGAGGAGGUUUUCUCACUGUUUUGGAAAGUCAGUCUCAGUCUGUGUUUACGACACAAAGUCAAAUUACAGAGCAGCUCACUUUAAGACCUAAUGAAACUCAUUGACUAAAUGUUAACUCAGUCUGACUGCUCGUAAAUGCAAAGAGUCGAAAUUAAUGCACAGCAGUCUGAUCGCUCCAACGGGUGUCUUUCACAGAGAUCAGCUUUAUAAGAUGAAGGUGUGUGAAUCUCUGAUCCACUCCACAUACACACACAUUCAGAUACACAUGCAGAUACACACUCUUUUAACUUUCUUUGUCUUCCUCUGAGAGCUUCGCUUUGUGUCUGAGUGCAUUUCAGAAAACACUGUUCCCAGCAAGAGUUAAAACACACUUUCAAACUCAGCAUCCAUGGAAACUGUCCAGAUCUGCUCUCCCUGUUUUGAAGCUCUUCAGUUAUGAAUUCCAAAUUUUUCAUUUCAACACAUUUUGUAUCAACCACAUUAUUGGACCAGAAUCAGACCUGCAUCUAUAAACUUAAACAAAUCCUAGAAAAAAACUGUCGAUAUGAGCGUUUAAUGUGUCCGAUUUCACUUUGCAUGUUUUGAAGGGUCCCUUUAUCGCAAAAUCUGUGUGAGAAAUCAAACGUGGGCCAGGACACAGCGGACACUAGAGGGUAGCAGAGUGUCAGCACUGUACAGGCAACAUUAUUCCCAGUAUGUGGAGAAGUCUCACAUAGAAAACAAACAUAAUCAUUAAGCUUAAAUCUGGCUCUCACCAAAAGAUUUUAAAAAUCCAAACAGAUUUAGGAAACACCCACACAUGACGAGAAAUGAUGACAGAUUUAACAGAUUUGUUCCAAUAAUGUGUGGUGUGCAACAAUUUGGCAAACACAGCACAACACACACAUAAAACACUUUGCAUCAACAAUCAAAGUCCUGGCCGUCAGAUCUGGAUAAAUAUCAUCAAAUCUUUUGAGGCCAAAGUAGCUUUUCGAGUAGGAAACGUGGCGGACUACAAGCGCUCACCGUUGCUAGCCGCUAAGCUUUCUGGUACAUCUGCUGUAUUUUUAGCUCACUGAAGAAAUAAACUGUUAUUGUGUGAUUGUAAAGAUAAAAUGGUUUAUAGUAAACGCACAGCCAUUCACGUUUGCUGCAUUGUUCUGAACAGUUACCUGUUCACACCACAAGGUGGCAGUAAGCGUCUGUUGAUGCUUUUGGCUAAAGUUCUAAACAUUGUCAAAGUGUGCUGUAUGACAGAGAGAUCAUACUUGAGACCAUAACAGAGAGGUACAAGAGUAAAAAGCCAAGGCUCAUGUCAUGUGUUGUAAUAUGUAACACUCCAUAACUAUCAAGUAAAAUCACGUAAACAGCAAUGUCAUCAUUUCUUAUCACGUGUGGGCUUUCUGACGUUUUCAGACUCAGUUGGGAUUUUAAAAUCUUUGAGCGUGUCCCAGGCUCAAGUCUAUGUUCCAUGUUUACUAUUUUUUCCAUGACUGCAUCUGUUCUUCAUCCUUCUUCAGUCAGCUUGCUUUCGACUGGCUAAUGUUUUUUUGCACAUGACAAUGGACAGAGUGCAUGAUUGGAGGUCCACGGGGUUCCCCUACACUUUUACACAAUUAAUAUUUCCAAUUUCAGGGAGUCUCUGAUCAUCUUCCACCCAGAUCAGAAGGAAAAAGAAGUCACGUGACAAUAGAAAUUCUACAUUUAGAAAGGCUACUGAGUAGGACUUUGGAUUAACUUUGUAUAGGCCCUGGUACACCAAAGUUAGACUGCAUGAUUCUUUUGUCUUUAAUGCUGUUUAUUGUAUCAGAUUAGGCAACCAGAGAGCCAUAAACCCAUGCAGUGACUUGGCUUACAUACUGUAUGUAUUAGACUACAAGUAGGAAUCCGACCAAUCAGUGGGACAGAUAUGAUGCCAAUGGGAGAGAGUCUAAACCAGACAACACCAGGGGAAUGCAGUUUCUCACCAUUUUGCUGAAGUCUCUCAAAUAUUUCUCAUUUUCAGUCUGUCAUGGUUGUCCUUCAGUGAUGCAUGAUUGAGUCAGUGAUGUUGCUGGCGAAGCUUGAAAAUCUUUCCCUCUUACUCAUAGUUUCAUCUCGCUGCACCAACUUCAUCCUUCAUCUUCAUCAGUUGGGACUUGAGUGUGUGCAGAGUGCUCCGUGCUCUCAUUGGUAAACAUCACUGAUGUCAAGGAGCACAUCCCAGAGUACAGAAAGAAAAAUCAACAUGCUAAACUCUCUGUUGGGAGAUAGUGAGGCAUCCUUAAAAAAGUCGUUCACUGUGACCCACUGCACUGGACAAAAUGGUGGAUUUUUAAGGCUGAGAGGUCCCGACAGGUCUGCCGGAUCAGGUGAUGACUGUGCUGGACGUUGUGAGGCCUGACCUCAGCAAAAGAAUAGCUCGGAACUCAGUAAGGAUUUCAGCAAGGGUGGGAGGAGUGCUGACAUGGACUCGUAAAAGAAUACUUUUGGGGAGUCCUGGACCAAACAAACAUGUCCUCUGUUUAGGAGGAGGCGAGUCUGAAGAUCCAGGUGGAGAUUUACCAAUACCCCGAGCAGAGGUCUUUGAGGUGCUCUGGAAGCUCCUUAGUCACAGAACAUGCUUGAUGCUCUUGACACUGCUUAGCUGUCUUGGCUGAUAUGUCUCUCCAGGGUCGUGUGGAGGUUGGGGACAAUAUCUUUGGUGUGACACAGAUCAGAUGGUGGUCCCAAUUUUUAAAAAGGGAGACAGAAAGCUGCUCACACUCAGCCUCCCAGAUAAGUGUUACAUCUCAGAAUUAGGUUUUGCAGAUGAUGUGGUUCUGUUAGCUUCUACAGGCUGGAACCACCAGCAGACACCAGGGUGAUUUGCAGCUAAUCAGAAAAGAGAUUUAAUGAGAGUCAGUGAAUUCAAUUGUGAGGUUAUGUUUUUCUGCAAGUUAAGGAGACUAGUUUAGAAAACAUAGAUAGUUCAUAAAACAAAGACAUAUUUGUAGAACCUUUAAAAAGUAUCUUGCUCUCUGAAAAUACUUUGCUGCAAAAACUGAUUU